Molecule: small nuclear RNA, 107 nt
Organism: Saimiri boliviensis boliviensis (Bolivian squirrel monkey)
Lineage: Eukaryota; Metazoa; Chordata; Mammalia; Primates; Cebidae
Source: Ensembl
GCACUCGCUUCAGCAGCACAUAUGCUAAAACUGGAAUAAUGCAGGGAAGGUUAGCAUGGCCCCUGAGCAAGAAUGACACAUAAAUUUAUAAAGAUUCCAUAUUUUUU